AGUGAACGCUGGCGGUAGGCCUAACACAUGCAAGUCGAACGGCAGCACAGUAAGAGCUUGCUCUUACGGGUGGCGAGUGGCGGACGGGUGAGGAAUACAUCGGAAUCUACUUUUUCGUGGGGGAUAACGUAGGGAAACUUACGCUAAUACCGCAUACGACCUACGGGUGAAAGCAGGGGAUCUUCGGACCUUGCGCGAUUGAAUGAGCCGAUGUCGGAUUAGCUAGUUGGUGGGGUAAAGGCCCACCAAGGCGACGAUCCGUAGCUGGUCUGAGAGGAUGAUCAGCCACACUGGAACUGAGACACGGUCCAGACUCCUACGGGAGGCAGCAGUGGGGAAUAUUGGACAAUGGGCGCAAGCCUGAUCCAGCCAUACCGCGUGGGUGAAGAGGGCCUUCGGGUUGUAAAGCCCUUUUGUUGGGAAAGAAAAGCAGCAGGUUAAUACCCCGCUGUUCUGACGGUACCCAAAGAAUAAGCACCGGCUAACUUCGUG
RNAcentral lists this ribosomal RNA (492 nucleotides) under uncultured bacterium. RNAcentral's name for it is "partial 16S ribosomal RNA". It matches the Rfam family "Bacterial small subunit ribosomal RNA", at positions 29 to 507 of the family's 1533-position model. The record is from RNAcentral.